GUUCACUGAACUGAAUUGGUAAGUUCUGAUAGGAUAGUGAAAUCAAAUAAACUCAUAAUAUACUUUCAUGGUUUAAAAAAUAGAUACUUGAGAAGAUCAAAGUGAAUGACAAAUCAAUGAAAUAUAUUCUGAUUUUUUUAAGUUAUUACUCUUUUCCCUCCUGCCCCCAAUAUGUCUGUAUCAUUCCUACUUUUGAUCAUUUAGUAGAUGGUCUAGUAACUUCACCUCUUGAUGCUCAGCACUCGUAUUCCCUUACGUGUUACUGCUUGUAGGAUGUUCGAAUACAUUGUACCUAACAUUCUAAAUGAAAGAAAACCAUUACUAUUUUAUUGCCCAUCUGAUUCAGUAUACCUAUUCUCAAAAUAGUGUUGUUCCUUUCUUGUCAGACAGAAAAAUCAAUGUUAUCCUGUUUAUCAUUCUUUGUGAGGGAAGAAUGCAACUAUGUUUCUGCUGGAAGAACCUCUAGUAAGGUAAAAUCGGUUCAUAAUGGUAAUUACAUACAGGCAUACCUCAGAGAUGCUGUGCAUUCAGAUCCAGACCACAAGAAAGCGAAUAUUGCUGUAAAGUUAGUCAAAGGGACUUUUUGGCGCCCUGGUGCAUAUAAAAGUUAUGUUGCCAGUACAGGUUAGUAUAAUAAGUGUGUAAUAGCAUCAUGUUUAAAAGACAAUGUACAUACCUCGUUAAAAAAAUCCUUAAUUGCUCAAAAAUGUGACCUGUCAUCAGAGCUAGUGAGUUGUCAUCUUUUUCCUGGUAGAAGGUCUUCCUUUCAUGUUGGUGGCUCUUGACCCAUCAGGAUGGUGGCUGCUGAAGGUUGGGUGGCUGUGGCAAUUUGUUUUAAAUGAGAUAGCAAGAAAGUUGGCUGCACUGACGGACUCUUCCUUUCACAAGCAAUCUCUCUUGCAUGUGAUGCUGUUUGAUAGCAUUUUAUCCACAAUACUACGUCUUUCUAAACUGGAUUCAAAUCUCUGAAACCUGCCUACUGCUUUUCAACUAAGUUUAUGUCAUAUUUGAAAUCCUCUGUUGUUUCAAAAUCUUCAUAGCGUCUUCAUCAGGAGUAGAUUCCACCUCAAGAAACCACUUUGUUUGCUCAUUCACAAGAAACGAUUCCUUAUCCAUUAAAGUUUCCCCAUGAGAUUGCAAUCGUUCAGUUAUAGUGACAGGCUCCAUGUAUAAUUCUAGUUCUCUUGCUGUUAACAACACAUCUUCAGCUAUUUCCUCCAUAGGAGUCUUGAGCCCCUCAGUCGUUCCUGAGGGUUGGAAUCAACCUCUUUGAAGCUCCUGUUAAUUUUGAUAUUUUUACCUCUUCUGAUGUUCUGGAUGGCACAAAUGUUCUGAAUGGCAUCUAGAAUGAUGAAUUCUUUCCAAGAGGUUUUCAAUUAACUUUACCCAUAUCCAUCAGAAGAAUAACUCUUUAUGGUAGCUAUAGCCUUACAAAACGUGUUUCUUAAAAAUGAGACUUGGAAGUUGAAGUUACUUCUUGAUCCAUGGGCUGAAGAAUACAUGCUACAUUAGCAGGAAUCAACACAACACUGAUCUUGUACAUUUCCAGCAGAGCUCUCGGGUGACCAGGUACUUUAUGAAAAAGCAAUGUCCACAAAAUAUCAGUGUGCAUAAAAUAUUCAGUAAACAAUGGUGGAAACAGGUUUUCUGUCACCCAGGGCUUUGUUGUUCCAUUUAAAGAGCAUACACAGACUAUUUUUAGCAUAAUUCUUAAGGGUCUUAGGAUUUUUGAAAUGGAAAUGUGCAUUGGCUUCAACGAAAAGUCAUCAUCUCUAUAAGUCCCUAACAAGAGAGUCAGCCUUUAUUUUUUUGUGUGUCUAUUUAUUUUGAAGGAGGCAGGGGGAGGGUAUGAGGGAGUAGGGGAGGGGCAGAGAGAGAAGGAGAGAGAGCAAGAAUCCCAAGCAGGCUCUGCACUGACAGGUUUCAAACUCACAGACUAUGAGAUCGUGACCUGACCUGAAGUCAAGAGUCGGACUCUCAACUGACUGAGCCACCCAGGUGCUCCCAAAGUCCCCACGUAUGUAACUCCAAACAGGAGAGUCAGCCUGUCUUUCAUAGCUUUGAAACUAGGCAUUGACUUCUCCUCUUUAGCUAUGAAAGUCCUUGAUGGCAUCUUCUAAUAAAAGCUAUUUUGUAUACA
RNAcentral lists this long non-coding RNA (2140 nucleotides) under Felis catus (domestic cat). RNAcentral describes it as "lncRNA (ENSFCAG00000051409.1)". The record is from RNAcentral. Lineage: Eukaryota; Metazoa; Chordata; Mammalia; Carnivora; Felidae.